GCAGGCAUCUUUUCAGCCUACA
This 22-nucleotide microRNA is filed under the name Chrysemys picta bellii (western painted turtle). RNAcentral's name for it is "Cpi-Mir-456_5p* (star (passenger))". The record is from RNAcentral. RNAcentral also lists the same sequence under 1 other name. Lineage: Eukaryota; Metazoa; Chordata; Testudines; Emydidae.